CACGUAGGCGGACUUGUCAGUCAGGGGUGAAAUCCCGGGGCUCAACCUCGGAACUGCCUCUGAUACAGCAAGUCUUGAGUCCGGAAGAGGUGGGUGGAAUUCCUAGUGUAGAGGUGAAAUUCGUAGAUAUUAGGAAGAACACCGGUGGCGAAGGCGGCCCACUGGUCCGGUACUGACGCUGAGGUGCGAAAGCGUGGGGAGCAAACA
Molecule: ribosomal RNA, 207 nt
Filed under: uncultured bacterium
Lineage: Bacteria
Description: partial 16S ribosomal RNA
Rfam family: Bacterial small subunit ribosomal RNA
Source: RNAcentral